ACCUAAUUUCUACCCCUGUAGCACCUAAUCCCUACAUAGACCUUGGAGCUAGGAGAUAUCAGACCGCUUCAUCACCAAAAACGGGGCAAAACCCCCUGCUUCCCUUUUCUUGCUUCUUCAUUCAUCAUCUUCGAUGGAAGGAGACCUUCUCCUAUGAACAUAAUCGGCACACCCCUCUCCAUUGCUCAACAAGAACGACCAGAUUUCCACACCCAAGCUCACACGCGAAAUACACAAGCAUAUUAGGAAGCUCGAAUCCGAAAAAAAUGGUUUCAAACAAAAAUCAAAAGGAAUCUGGAAUUUGAGGUUCGAAUUUAUUGACUUGCUGUUGCUGAGUUUUCCGUUGAAGCUGUGCUGCUGAGCUCCGUCGAGUUUGUGUCUGCCUUCAUUUGGCUUGUUCGAGCUUCGCUCUAUUCGAUCGGAUCCUGGAGCUGCUGAUGCUGUGUAUGGCGGGAGCUGGUAUUUAAGAUGUACAUGAAUUCCAAUUAUAGCUGCCACGUGUCCUUGGUAGCUUUAAAUUUGCAGUAUGUAUAUUUCGAACAGAUAAUGUAUUUAUUACGUACUAGCUUUUUAAAUUCUAAGUCUAAGAAGCUCACUACCAAUCCUGGGAGAUUGUAUAGAAACUCAGUUAUUUUACUCAUUUACUUUUAGUACUGUC
Nicotiana attenuata is the source of this 658-nucleotide long non-coding RNA. RefSeq lists it as uncharacterized. The transcript has 2 exons. The record is from RefSeq and is a predicted model, not a curated record. Lineage: Eukaryota; Viridiplantae; Streptophyta; Magnoliopsida; Solanales; Solanaceae.